CUCUGUUAGUAUAAAACGCUGUGUCAUUAUCAUUGUUGUGUGGGUGGUCACUCAUGACAACACUGACUGCACAGGAACAACAGAGCUGCUCUGCAAGACGCAUGUAUGAAGAGAGAAAUUAAAGUGGAGGGAUGCUGUGACGAAUACUGUAUCCACUGCGUAAAAUGGCCAGCUGGAUAGCUUCAUGCUGUGGCUCCUUAAUACCGCGCAGGGUAGCAGCAGGAUGACUGUCACGGUGUAAAGGGCAGAAUGUGUGGACAGUCUCCAGAUGUGAUAAAGCACCACCACCAGUUUAAAAAUCCUGCAGGGUGGACUGAGGAGAUGCUCUCGUUUCUAUGCCCGGUCAUUUAUCAGUGAAGUUUCUUAUCAUGAAGCAUGUGUGUAUAUGUUGCUGUGCAGUUGUUUUAAUGAUGACUUGUCUGAAAACUCCCUGUUGGGAAGCCAGAUAAAAUCUGAGAACUGACAAGUGCAACACCAACUACUAACUUACUAAUGCAAUAUAAUAAACCAAUGAAUUAAAUAAA
Long non-coding RNA from Paralichthys olivaceus (Japanese flounder), 524 nucleotides. RefSeq lists it as uncharacterized. The record is from RefSeq and is a predicted model, not a curated record. NCBI's taxonomy places the organism in Eukaryota, Metazoa, Chordata, Actinopteri, Pleuronectiformes, Paralichthyidae.